GAAACUCACCCGGCCCGGACACCGUAAGGAUUGACAGAUUGAAAGCUCUUUCUUGAUUCGGUGGGUGGUGGUGCAUGGCCGUUCUUAGUUGGUGGAUCGAUUUGUCUGGUUAAUUCCGAUAACGAACGAGACUCUAGCCUACUAAACUAGACAAUUGAUUUGGUUUGUCGAUUGAACUUCUUAGAGGGACUGAGGUCAUUUAGACCUACGAGAUUGAGCAAUAA
RNAcentral lists this ribosomal RNA (224 nucleotides) under uncultured marine eukaryote. RNAcentral's name for it is "partial 18S ribosomal RNA". It matches the Rfam family "Eukaryotic small subunit ribosomal RNA", at positions 1210 to 1456 of the family's 1831-position model. The record is from RNAcentral.